CACUAAGCAGGGGACACAGGAAGUAGUUUCUCUUUUCUUCCACCUUGCCUCUGACACCUCAGGGCAGUGAAGGCUUUGAUAUGCGUGAGGAGGCAUCGGGUCAGCAGAUGGAGGAGUCCAGGCCCUGUUCUAGGCAAGAUAAGUACUCUGAGUGAAGUUUGAGGGAACCACCCACCACAGAUUGGAGGGACUCCCACAGAGUCCAACCCCUGAUUUCAGCCCUGUUAGAUCCCAGACAGGGAUCAUUUGAUUUAGUACCUUCUGAAUUCCCUCAGUGAGGACUCUGGGAGCUGAGAGUCAGCAGAUGGAGGCGUCCAGGCUCUGCCACACGUUAAGGUGACCCUUUUUUGAAGUGAGGAGGUCAUUGGACACUUUCUUGAAGGAGACAGCAUUGUGGAACAUUAAAUAGAUGUCACUAGUCAUCACCUCUAAAUUGUUGGCCUGAUCUUGGGUGUUCUAAGUUGACCCUUAGACAACUUGGGUUUGAACUGCAUGGAUCUACUUAUACAUGGAUUUUCUUCUGCCUCUGCCACCCAUGAAACAGCAAGACCAACCGUUCCUUUUCCAUUUUUCUCCUCAGCCUACUCAACACAAAGAAGAUGAAUAUGAAGACCUUUGUGAUGAUCCACUUCACUUAAUGAAUAGUUGUAGGCAAAGCCAGCUGCCAUUUCAUAAGAACACUCAGGCAACACUAUGGAGCUGUUCAUUGGCAAGGAAAUUAGUUCUCCUGCCGUAACCAGCAAGGAACUGAAGCUCUUGCUAACAGCUAUGUGAAUUAGUUAUUUUGGAAGCAGAUCCUCCAACUCCAGUCAAGCCAGCUGACAUACAGCACUAGCUGACAUCAUGAUUGCAACCAUGUGAGAAGAUUCGGGUCAGAGCCACCCAGAUGCUGAAACCUGAAGUCAGCAGGGAAGUCAGGAAGAGGAGAUGAUGCAAAGCAGAGGAAGCAAGGAUAAAUGGAAUCCAUGAGGACUAUCUGGAGCUCUCAAGGACUGACUGGGACCCAUGUUGAUCUUCCACUGCCUCCAAACCUCCAAUUUCAAUGACAUCAAUGCCCUGAAAAAAAAAAGUGGGCGUUCUUUUUUAUGGAGCUGGUGAAGAAGGAGGAAGAUAUGAGGGAGAACUGGAGCAAUUGUGGGCCCAACUGCUGCCUCACACCAAGAGAACCCUGAAGGAAGAGGUGCCAGGAGAGAUGAAAGGAAAUAUCAUGGGAAUGGAGUGCUGUUCAGCCUGCGGAAUGUCUGGAAUAUCUGAGAAGCAGCAGGACAACAGUCGAUGCCUCUAGUGGGAAUAAAAGUCAAUUGAAUAUCUACCAGACAAGAUAGAAUUUGCAUAUCCAUCAGUUACAAAGAGGGAAGAAGUAGCUCAAAGACAAUGAAAAGGACCAAAAUCUGAUAAUCCAUAAAGGUAGAUCUAUAGUGAGAAGCUGAACCAUAACUGAAACACUGCUAAGGAAGCAUGGGAUGAUGAGAGAAGACACAUUCAUCUUAGGAUGUAUUCGUUAACCAUAAGGUAGCUUAAACACUCAUCCUCAUAAUAGUACCACAAUAAUAUUUAUGAUAAAGACUUACUGUUCCCUAGACAGUGCUUGGGUGAGUUCCACACACAUUUCCUACUUCAACUCUUCUUCUUUAUUUUCAUUGGCAAUGAACCCCAACCUAAACCACUUCUAAUAUAACUUAAUACCUUCAGUUAAGC
RNAcentral lists this long non-coding RNA (1698 nucleotides) under Homo sapiens (human). RNAcentral describes it as "HSALNT0281171". The record is from RNAcentral. Lineage: Eukaryota; Metazoa; Chordata; Mammalia; Primates; Hominidae.